Molecule: long non-coding RNA, 397 nt
Organism: Colias croceus (clouded yellow)
Lineage: Eukaryota; Metazoa; Arthropoda; Insecta; Lepidoptera; Pieridae
Exons: 2
Source: RefSeq, a predicted model, not a curated record
AGCAUCUUAGAGCAUUAAACCAACCGGAGUGGCCAUUGGCAGGCGUUCCCCGCUCGCCAAAGGUUUGAGUAAGCGUUACAUACCUGUUAUAUAAAACUAGUUGACGCGCGCCCAACGCCAUUUUGCUAAUGUCAGUGAACGUGAAAAAACCGGAGCGAAAUAUGCCAAAUUGAAGUGAAUUUACGUGUAAGAAGUGGUCAGAAACGUGGAAUGUAAUUAAGGAUAAUGUUACUUUUCAUCUAUUUCUCAAAGCUGCUGUGAUUCGGGAUGUUUGGAUUCGAUCUCCGAAUGCGAAUCAUGUUUCAUGGACUCCUAAACGGACUAGCACUUAAACUAGUGUUUCUGCGUUAAAAUAAAUGUAAAUAUGUGUAAAUAAAUGAUGUAAAUGAACGACGAA